RNAcentral lists this ribosomal RNA (687 nucleotides) under uncultured Staphylococcus sp. Its description in RNAcentral is "bacterial SSU rRNA". It matches the Rfam family "Bacterial small subunit ribosomal RNA", at positions 79 to 751 of the family's 1533-position model. The record is from RNAcentral. Lineage: Bacteria; Bacillati; Bacillota; Bacilli; Caryophanales; Staphylococcaceae.
CUUGCUUCUCUGAUGUUAGCGGCGGACGGGUGAGUAACACGUGGAUAACCUACCUAUAAGACUGGGAUAACUUCGGGAAACCGGAGCUAAUACCGGAUAAUAUUUUGAACCGCAUGGUUCAAAAGUGAAAGACGGUCUUGCUGUCACUUAUAGAUGGAUCUGCGCUGCAUUAGCUAGUUGGUAAGGUAACGGCUUACCAAGGCAACGAUGCAUAGCCGACCUGAGAGGGUGAUCGGCCACACUGGAACUGAGACACGGUCCAGACUCCUACGGGAGGCAGCAGUAGGGAAUCUUCCGCAAUGGGCGAAAGCCUGACGGAGCAACGCCGCGUGAGUGAUGAAGGUCUUCGGAUCGUAAAACUCUGUUAUUAGGGAAGAACAUACGUGUAAGUAACUGUGCACAUCUUGACGGUACCUAAUCAGAAAGCCACGGCUAACUACGUGCCAGCAGCCGCGGUAAUACGUAGGUGGCAAGCGUUAUCCGGAAUUAUUGGGCGUAAAGCGCGCGUAGGCGGUUUUUUAAGUCUGAUGUGAAAGCCCACGGCUCAACCGUGGAGGGUCAUUGGAAACUGGAAAACUUGAGUGCAGAAGAGGAAAGUGGAAUUCCAUGUGUAGCGGUGAAAUGCGCAGAGAUAUGGAGGAACACCAGUGGCGAAGGCGACUUUCUGGUCUGUAACUGACGCUGAUG